CAACUAUUUUUUUCGAGAUAUUC
Molecule: small nuclear RNA, 23 nt
Filed under: Arabidopsis thaliana (thale cress)
Lineage: Eukaryota; Viridiplantae; Streptophyta; Magnoliopsida; Brassicales; Brassicaceae
Description: snRNA_15902
Source: RNAcentral